CCAGACUCCUACGGGAGGCAGCAGUGGGGAAUAUUGCACAAUGGGGGGAACCCUGAUGCAGCGACGCCGCGUGGGUGAAGGAGCACCUCGGUGCGUAAAGCCCUAUCGGCAGGGAAGAAACAGACGGUACCUGACUAAGAAGCCCCGGCUAACUACGUGCCAGCAGCCGCGGUAAUACGUAGGGGGCAAGCGUUAUCCGGAUUUACUGGGUGUAAAGGGAGCGUAGACGGCAGUGCAAGUCUGGAGUGAAAGGCGGGGGCUCAACCCCCGGACUGCUCUGGAAACUGCCUGACUGGAGUGCUGGAGAGGCAAGCGGAAUUCCUAGUGUAGCGGUGAAAUGCGUAGAUAUUAGGAGGAACACCAGUGGCGAAGGCGGCCUGCUGGACGACAACUGACGGUGAGGCGCGAAAGCGUGGGGAGCAAACAGGAUUAGAUACCCGGGUA
This 444-nucleotide ribosomal RNA is filed under the name uncultured bacterium. Its description in RNAcentral is "bacterial SSU rRNA". It matches the Rfam family "Bacterial small subunit ribosomal RNA", at positions 331 to 792 of the family's 1533-position model. The record is from RNAcentral.